UACGUAGGUGGCAAGCGUUGUUCGGAAUUAUUGGGCGUAAAGCGCGCGCAGGCGGUCCUUUAAGUCUGAUGUGAAAGCCCACGGCUCAACCGUGGAGGGGCAUUGGAAACUGGGGGACUUGAGUGCAGGAGAGAAGAGUGGAAUUCCACGUGUAGCGGUGAAAUGCGUAGAGAUCAGGAGGAACACCCGUGGCGAAGGCGGCCCUCUGGCUCGACCCUGACGCUGAGAGGCGAAAGCGUGGGGAGCGAACGGG
This 253-nucleotide ribosomal RNA is filed under the name uncultured bacterium. Its description in RNAcentral is "partial 16S ribosomal RNA". It matches the Rfam family "Bacterial small subunit ribosomal RNA", at positions 524 to 776 of the family's 1533-position model. The record is from RNAcentral.